RNAcentral lists this ribosomal RNA (472 nucleotides) under uncultured bacterium. RNAcentral's name for it is "partial 16S ribosomal RNA". It matches the Rfam family "Bacterial small subunit ribosomal RNA", at positions 28 to 507 of the family's 1533-position model. The record is from RNAcentral.
GACGAACGCUGGCGGCGUGCUUAACACAUGCAAGUCGAACGCUGAAGCUUGGUGCUUGCACUGGGUGGAUGAGUGGCGAACGGGUGAGUAAUACGUGAGUAACCUGCCCUUGACUCUGGGAUAAUCCUGGGAAACUGGGUCUAAUACUGGAUACGACAUUUCACCGCAUGGUGGUGUGUGGAAAGGGUUUUACUGGUUUUGGAUGGGCUCACGGCCUAUCAGCUUGUUGGUGGGGUAAUGGCUCACCAAGGCGACGACGGGUAGCCGGCCUGGGAGGGUGGCCGGCCAAACUGGGACUGAGACAAGGCCCAGACUCCUACGGGAGGCAGGAGUGGGGAAUAUUGCAACAUGGGGGGAAGCCUGAUGCAGCGACGCCGCGUGAGGGAUGACGGCCUUCGGGUUGUAAACCUCUUUCAGCACGGAAGAAGCGAAAGUGACGGUAAGUGCAGAAGAAGCGACGGCUAACUAAGUG